This 73-nucleotide transfer RNA is filed under the name Deltaproteobacteria bacterium. RNAcentral's name for it is "tRNA-Thr". It matches the Rfam family "tRNA". From Rfam's summary of the family: Transfer RNA (tRNA) molecules are approximately 80 nucleotides in length. Lineage: Bacteria; Pseudomonadati; Myxococcota; Myxococcia. The record is from RNAcentral.
GCCACCAUAGCUCAGUUGGUAGAGCAACUGAUUCGUAAUCAGUAGGUCACCGGUUCGAUUCCGGUUGGUGGCU